GCAUCGGCAGUUCCUACUAUCUCUAAUAUUGUAACAAUGCUGGUUGUUUGCACCUCCCCUGUUGUUGUAUGCUAUAGGUUAAGGUGUUUACCAGCCUCUCUUCCCACCUCCUGUUCAAGCCAUGCUCAGUAACUAGGAAAAAUCAAAGCUGUUCCCUCUUUCUCCUCCCGGGUAGUGGAGGCUUCAAUACUGCAUUCUGAAAAUGGUGAUGUCCUUGGCAUACAUUCAAAUUAGUGUAUUUUUUCUUUGUUAUAUCUUGGCUCCAGGAGCCAAUGUGUAAUUAUAAACUUGGCAUGCUGUUUUCCAUGUUCAGUCAUCAGACUUUGCUCCACCCCAACUCAGAUGCAGAAGUCAAUAGUAGUACCAUCAUUCCUGCCUGGUUAACUGGUGACACUCGAUGUAUCAGGGUCAAAACCCAGACGGUCCUCAAAAUGGCUCUGUAUCGGGCCACAUUGUAUGCAUUUAUUAUCUAAGCCAUUGGUUAGAUAAGGAACUUACUUCCCAUGGUUUUUAAGAGGGAUAAUAAACAUGCCCGUGGUUUGCUUGAGUAAUGGUUUCUCAACCUUAUAAAUGAGUGCUUUAAUGUAAACUGUGUACACUUUAUCCAUUAGAAAGAAAAGUUAACUAGAAUUAAUUCUUUACAAUCAGCCGUCCAGAAACGUCUUUCCUGUGGUUCACCAGUCCUUGCAAGACGAUGAAAUACAUCAUCUGGCGCCGAUUCAAAUGGAUCUUUCUUGGGAUCAUAAUACUGCUGUUUGUAGUUCUGUUCCUUGGGAUCUUCUUUUAUUCAUUGCCGAACUACCUAUCCAUGAGAAUUGUGAAUCCUAUCUAAGGAGUUUACGUUUGGCCAGUCUUCCCGCAGCAGUGAUUCUGUUGUAUAACUGACACAAGAACAUUCAUGUCGUAUGUCUACAACCUCAUGGCCUCGGGUAGAAAUGGACAGAGGUUAGGAGGAUGACAAAAUCUACAUUUUACCAAGGUUAAGCAAGGUUCAUGGGGUCAUGACUGGGCCAUUUAUCAAUGAUUCCAUGUUAAUGUGCUGACCCUGGAUGACCAGGACCCUGCUGUUUUUAUCCAACAUUUAUGCAAUUGGCUGUUUGUUUAGCAGGUGCCUGUCUAGUUAUGAAAUACCAGGGGAAUUUUUCCGUGCAUUUGAAACAGCGAACUAAGCAGAAGUGUGUUUGAAUUAUGGCUAUUCAAGGUGGUUGGUUUGCUAAUCUGUUACAGCAUAGGUUUAGAACAAUGUGCAAAUAUUAAGGGACUUUUUUUAUCAAAUGUCUGAAACAAUUUAAAGAGCAAAGUGUCUCCACUCAGUUUGCAUAUAUCCUCAUUGAAUGGAAGAAACUAAUGGUUGAUGUUCUGAGGAUUAUAAAUAGUGCAGCAGUGUUGUAUUAUGUAGUCUCUUCAUGGUUUUAGUUUGAUUCACUUUUUUGCGUAAGAAUGUGGACCAAAAUCAAAUGUAACUUAAAUGCAAAGUAAAUCACUAUUAAUCAGUGUACUUCUUGUACUCUAAUAACUGCAAUGUUAGCAUCUAAUAAAUCAUUCCACCAGUGUCA
Long non-coding RNA from Rhincodon typus (whale shark), 1556 nucleotides. RefSeq lists it as uncharacterized. The record is from RefSeq and is a predicted model, not a curated record. NCBI's taxonomy places the organism in Eukaryota, Metazoa, Chordata, Chondrichthyes, Orectolobiformes, Rhincodontidae. The transcript has 2 exons.